This is a non-coding RNA of Oryza sativa Japonica Group (Japanese rice), 2084 nucleotides long. Lineage: Eukaryota; Viridiplantae; Streptophyta; Magnoliopsida; Poales; Poaceae. The record is from RefSeq and is a predicted model, not a curated record.
CAAUGGCGAGAACCGGAGCAGCAGCAGCAGCCAGCAGAUCCUCCAUCGCCGCGAGCGCCCCGCGCCGGCACGACUCCUGGCCCUUCGCCGCGGCGGCAGGUGGUGAUGCGGUCGGUCUAAGGGGAGAGAAAUUAAGAGAGAGAGAGAGAAGGCAGAGAGCGAGGAGGAAGGAAUGAGGAGAGGAUGACAUGGGGUCCCACGUGUCAGGAGCCCACAUUUUUUUUUGUGUGGAUGACAAAUAGGUCCCACAUCAUGUUUUUAACUCUAAUGCAACCUAAGCAUCACGUCAUCGUCACAAACCAAGUCAACACUGCCACGUAGACGUCACGUCAGCGAAACCGCUCUUCAAAACCGUCGAGGGAGUUAAAUUGCACCGGUUUUAAGAGUUGGAGGGUAAGAUAUCCGGUUUUGUGGUUUAGAUGACAGAUUAUAUUCUGAGGGUCACCAAGUGAACUUAUUCCCUCGCGUGCGCCGCGGCGGCGGCAGCAGCAGAAGCAGCUCGGAUCCCUCCUGCAAUGGCGACCGCGUGCCCGCCGCUGUCGCUGCAGCCGGCCUACCUCCCGGGGAGGUCCGCACGCGCGCGCCGCCCGCUGCCCGCCGUCCGCUGCAGCGCCGUCGGAGAGGUUAUGGCGGAAACGGCGGCGGUCGGGACGGUGGAGGAGCCGCUGCUGGUGAGCGCGAUCGAAGGGGAGGAAGGUCGAGAGACCGCCGGUCUGGCUUAUGAGGCAGGCCGGGAGGUACAUGAAGAGCUAUCAAUUGCUCUGCGAGCGACAUCCUUCAUUCUGUGAAAGAUCAGAACUUGUUGACCUUGUUGUUGAAAUCUCUCUACAACCAUGGAAGGUUUUCACGCCCGAUGGAGCUAUCCUGUUCUCAGAUAUCCUUACACCGCUUCCUCGGAUGAACAUACCUUUUGACAUUGUGAAAGGAAAAGGUUCAGUGAUAUUUGAUCCCUUGAGAACAGCAGCUGCUGUGAAUGAGGUCAGAGAAUUUGUUCCAGAGGAGUGGGUCCCGUAUGUUGGGCAGGCUUUAAACAUUUUGCGAGAAGAGAUUAACAAUGAAGCUACCGUGUUGAGUUUUGUUGGAGCUCCCUUUACGUUGGCAUCCUAUUGUGUUGAAGGAGGUUCAUCAAAGAAUUUUUCAAAGAUUAAAAAAAUGGCCUUGUCGGAACCAGAGGUAUUGGACACAAUCAUAUUGCUGAUAAAAGAGUACAUGAAUUCUCUUUCACUAUAGACAACUGUCUGUUGCUUCCUGACUGCUGCUUGUGUUCUUUUAUAUUGCCCUUCUUCCAAUCGGAUGGGCUACAGUGGGCUAUUAGCUUCAGCCCAAGGCCCAGCAACAUGAGUUACUACCAAUUAAUUACCAAGCUGACAAUGGAGCACAAAGCUGUCCAAAUUUUUGACUCAUGGGCUACAAAACUCUGCCCGGUUGAUUUUGAGUAAUUUAGCUUGCCUUAUCUGAAGCAGAUUGUGGAUAGUGUCAAAGAAACACAUCCUGAAUUGCCUCUGAUAUUAUAUGCAAGUGGAUCUGGUGGACUGCUGGAGAGGCUUCCAUUGACAGGUGUUGAUGUUGUUAGCUUGGGGACGGUUGAUAUGGCUGAGGGGAGGAAAAGAUUGGGAUCUAACAUAGCGGUUCAAGGGAAUGUUGACCCUGGCGUUCUUUUUGGGUCCAAAGAGUUCAUAAGCAACCGGAUUUUUCACACUGCAGAAAGCUGGUAAUAGUGGGCAUGUAUUGAACCUUGGCCAUGGCACUAAGGUGGGCAAAAGGGAUCAGAUACUGAAACACCUAGGCUAUUCGAUGCAUUCCUUUCUCCCUAGUCUCCACCGGCAAAAGUAGUAGAUUCUGCUGCUUGAGGAUAGAUGAAGGAAGCCAUAUCUAGCGUAGAAUACCUGAAGAGCACAUCUUUUGUGAUUUCUGUGUUUUGCUAUCAUUUUUUUUAUCUUAUUGUUAGUCUUGUAAGGUUAUCACUUGAGGUGUAAGAAAGUGCCUACUUGUUUAUAUCAAGUAUAUAUUCUAAUUUCUAAUCUUAUCUGUAACCAUGAGAUUAUAAAUUUUUAUUGGCGAGAAAUAAAUAUUAUAUUUGAAAA